CCUGAAACCACUGACUCCCUGGUCACUAUCCUCCCAGGAAGACUUCAUUGUUAGGUCCUGGCAUCUCCAUCUAGCCACUGGUGUAAUCAGCUGGGGUCACUGUCCCCUAAGAGGCCCUGGGCAGGCCCUUCUGGUCACAUGAAGCCUGCAAACCUCAAGCUCCUAAGGACCUGAAUGCAUUCCAAGAGGCUGACCUAGCAGCCCCAGAGCUCCAGCUGAAGGCCUGGCAGUCCCGGAGGUACUACAUUGCUGGGCAGAGGACACAAGGCAUUUCCAAGGCAGCUUGGCCUCCUGCCAGUGGGUCCCCAGAUGCCAUGCAAGACACACCUGAACGAGGGAGCAUCAGAGGAUCCAAAGCAUCUAGAAGAUGCAGGCUAGCUUCCCCUCAUGCCUCAAUAAAGCCAUGAAACACAGCAACUUGAGAUGCAAGGGGCGAUUCUGUCCCACUUGGAGAAAGCUAGUCAGUAAGAACAAAGAGAACACAGGCCCAGACUGGGAGUCCUCAGAGAAGGCAAGAGGGCCACAGUGUCCUGCAGGAGCACCAGGCAAGGGAAGAAAUACCCUAACUGCUGAUGGUUUUGACAUCACUGCACCGGCGAUCCAGGAGAAAAGACCAUUGCUUGACUGGGGCAGAAAACCGCUCUGAGCAAGAUAAGGAACGAUAAGGUUUUCUGGAAACUUCCUGUGAGAACCUUUGUUCCAGUCCAGCCUCUUCCUCACUGACGAGCACGACCCACUGCAUACUGCACAGGUGGGAAAGACAGAUCUCUCUCCAACCUUCGUCUAUCACUUGGAGACUGUGCUGGGUUUUAAUACAGGCACUCUGGCUCCUGGCAUGUGCCUGGCUCUAUGACACUAUCAGAAAAAGAAGGGUCACUUUUUUCUGGAAAGAAGACCUGGCUACUCUGCAAAUUCCUCCUGUCUCUUCUAGGAGACCACCUCACCUCCACUUCCACUCCUCUACGCAAUGAAGGACUCCAGGGCCAACCAGUGUGGGGCAGGACCACGAGCGGGAAGGAGGGAGGAACCGACUGAGAAUGAGACUUGAAAGCACAUCAGUGAGAAGCCGAAAAGUUUUCUAUUUGAACUAUGACAAGUCUCUAGAAGAAGGGACGGUGUCUAAAUAGACAUGCUCACUUCUCUCUAAUGAAGACAGCCUCAUGUCAUCAUUGCAGAUCAACACUUUUCCUUGGAAGUAGUUAGAAGACUCUUCUCUCUGGACUCCAUGAUGGCUCCACCCACCCACAUGGCCCUCCAACCCACUUGUCUUCUGAAGUGAGGAUGUAAUGUGGAGUUGAGAUAGAGGGGCGGGGAACUAGCUCCACGAAUGUCCCUUUGGUGGGCAUCUUUUCCCCAAUUACUCAAUCCCUUUGACUUUCCAUGGGAUUAAGACAGCACCAGUGUUCUGGCUUGAAUGUGAAAUAUGCUUCACAGGAUUGCUUUUUGAAAGCUUGCUUGUUCCCCAGUGAGGAGCAAACUGUGGGAAGUGU
Molecule: long non-coding RNA, 1490 nt
Filed under: Cricetulus griseus (Chinese hamster)
Lineage: Eukaryota; Metazoa; Chordata; Mammalia; Rodentia; Cricetidae
Description: lncRNA (ENSCGRG00015031062.1)
Source: RNAcentral